This 253-nucleotide ribosomal RNA is filed under the name uncultured bacterium. RNAcentral describes it as "partial 16S ribosomal RNA". It matches the Rfam family "Bacterial small subunit ribosomal RNA", at positions 524 to 776 of the family's 1533-position model. The record is from RNAcentral.
UACAGAGGUGGCAAGCGUUGUUCGGAAUUACUGGGCGUAAAGGGCGCGUAGGCGGCCCGUCAAGUCCCGUGUGAAAGCCCCCGGCUCAACCGGGGAACGGCGCGGGAAACUAGCAGGCUUGAGUUCGGGAGAGGGAAGCGGAAUUCCUGGUGUAGCGGUGAAAUGCGUAGAUAUCAGGAGGAACACCGGUGGCGCAAGCGGCUUCCUGGCCUAAAACUGACGCUGAGAUACGAAAGUGUGGGGAGCGAACGGG